Non-coding RNA from Triticum aestivum (bread wheat), 135 nucleotides. Lineage: Eukaryota; Viridiplantae; Streptophyta; Magnoliopsida; Poales; Poaceae. The record is from Rfam.
UUUGUACUCCCUCCGUCCCAAAAUUCUUGUCUUAAAUUUGUCUAAAUACGGAUGUAUCUAGUUACAUUUUAGUGUUAGAUACAUCCAUAUCUGAACGAAUGUAAGACAAUAAUUUUGGGACGGAGGGAAUACUAC